Phrynosoma platyrhinos (Desert horned lizard) is the source of this 72-nucleotide non-coding RNA. NCBI's taxonomy places the organism in Eukaryota, Metazoa, Chordata, Lepidosauria, Squamata, Phrynosomatidae. The record is from the annotation of a GenBank genome assembly.
GCCAGUGUGUUGGAAUGGUUUGCGUGUUGGACUAUGACUUUGGAGACCAGGGUUCGAAUCCCAGCUCAGCCA